UUUCUUACUAAAAUUAAAGGAGAGCUUUCAUCAAAAGUAAUAUGUCUAAGACUUUGUCGAACUUCAGAGUGGUCGACCUCUUGUAAAAUUCUCUUUGCUACUCCUUCUAUAUUUAAAUCAGGAGAAAGUUGCAUUAGAGCUGUCUCAAAUUCGCCACCACCUAUAUAUUUACACCCAUCGAUCCAUCUGAGAUCUGAAUCUGUAAAGUUCCAGCACCUAAGUUUAAUCCAAUCAAAAAUUAGCUCUUCAAGUUUAUCCGUUUUUUUGUGAGAUAUCAUAUAAUUUGAUUUCUCUGUUGGUAUCUUCUGAUUGAUAUUUCUUUCAGAAAUAGACCAAGUUGGAGGAUUAUAAAUGCCUCCUCCAAUCGAAUUUGAAUCUGCAAGAUCUAGUAGGUUUCUGAAAUCAGUUCUAUCAGUAUUACAACACUGAAUUCCUGCAAAUCCAAUACUUCUUUCCCGUGAAAUGAGAGAUUUUGCUACAGAAAAAAUCAUUGAAGAAAUAGAAGUUUUCUUUAAUUCUUUCUUUGGUGAAUUAUCUUCAUUUGAAAAUGAAGGUGAAAUCAUCUGUUGUAUUUCUUGGUCUUUCUCUAUGAUUCUUUUCUGAACUGAAUCUAUUCCUGACCUGAAAGUCUCAGUUUCUUGCAAAUAAUUGUUAUUGUUAGAAUCUGUAUAACUUCUACUUUGGCAACAAUUCUCAAAGAUCAUUCCUCCAUUGUUCUCUUUAUCAUCUUGAAAUCUGGAAAAUGCACCUUUUCUAAGAGAGUAUAACUCCUCCUUAACUUCAUCCACUGCUUUAGGGAGUAAGAAGUUUAUGAAUGCCGGGCUUAGUCUCACUCUGAGUACAUGAACCUGGAUUUGAAUUGAUUCAAAGACCCUUUCUAAUCUUUGGCUUAAUAACAAAUUAUUUUCUGUUAUCAUACUUUCGUCAAAAACCACAAAUAGAGGAAUUACUUCCUCCUCUAUUUGACAGCUUAAGGCAUCAACAGAUCCAGAAAUCUUAUCUAAGUUAAACAAAAUAUCUAUUCCUGAAAUUUCCUUCCAGGAAAUAUCCUUGACGGCUUCACCUUCAGCUACCUUUAGCUUAUCUGUAAGUAAUUUCUUUCCUAUCAUCUUCGCAAAUGUUAUAUUUCUGUCCACUUCUGCGAAGAAAAGCAUUGCUGACAAUAUUGUCUCUCUAACUACUAAGGAACUACUUCUCUCAAGUAAUAGAUGAUUAGUUAAAUGUAAUCCUGUGAUAAAUGUUUGAAUAGCAUUUUCAAAGACUUGAUCUUUUUCAAAAAUAUC
Molecule: non-coding RNA, 1283 nt
Filed under: Cryptosporidium parvum
Lineage: Eukaryota; Apicomplexa; Conoidasida; Eucoccidiorida; Cryptosporidiidae
Source: RNAcentral